RNAcentral lists this ribosomal RNA (253 nucleotides) under uncultured bacterium. Its description in RNAcentral is "partial 16S ribosomal RNA". It matches the Rfam family "Bacterial small subunit ribosomal RNA", at positions 524 to 776 of the family's 1533-position model. The record is from RNAcentral.
UACAGAGGUCCCGAGCGUUGUUCGGAUUCACUGGGCAUAAAGGGUGCGUAGGUGGUGGGGUAAGUCGGAUGUGAAAGCUCGGAGCUUAACUCCGAAAUGGCAUUGGAAACUGCCCUGCUAGAGGGUCGGAGGGGGGACUGGAAUUCUCGGUGUAGCAGUGAAAUGCGUAGAUAUCGAGAGGAACACCCGUGGCGAAGGCGAGUCCCUGGACGACACCUGACACUGAGGCACGAAAGCUAGGGGAGCAAACAGG